Ornithorhynchus anatinus (platypus) is the source of this 138-nucleotide small nucleolar RNA. The record is from RefSeq and is a predicted model, not a curated record. Lineage: Eukaryota; Metazoa; Chordata; Mammalia; Monotremata; Ornithorhynchidae.
CCCCUUUCAGAAUCACACCUGAAGAGUUUCCAGUACUCUACCAGUUUCAAAUACGGUAGGGAGAGUCAAGCAGAGGCAUAUCUAUUCCAUUCCUAGCUUGGACAGUGGCUAGCGAGUGGCAGGUAAUCUGCUACAAGU